Molecule: small nucleolar RNA, 205 nt
Filed under: Bicyclus anynana (squinting bush brown)
Lineage: Eukaryota; Metazoa; Arthropoda; Insecta; Lepidoptera; Nymphalidae
Description: Small nucleolar RNA U3
Rfam family: Small nucleolar RNA U3
About the family: Small nucleolar RNAs (snoRNAs) are involved in the processing and modification of rRNA in the nucleolus. There are two main classes of snoRNAs: the box C/D class, and the box H/ACA class.
Source: Rfam by way of RNAcentral
AAGACCUUACUUCAUAGGAUCAUUUCUAUAGUAAGCUCUUCACGAGACUCACACAACACGUGAGAUCUAUCCAGCCAUGUUGAUGAGAUGUGGCGCGGCGUCCUGAGCGUGAGGCGGACAAUGGCUUAAUACCAUUAGUCCUCGAUGAUCGUUCACCCAGGUCCUUCGGGAUCUGGGCGUAGGACGUUGUCGCUAUCUGAGUGGC